GUACGCGCACGAUAUAGAGCACCCCAUGGGCAAACAAAGAUCUAUGUAAUAUUCCCCCUCGAAGUGACAACCCAGCAAGUGAUGGCACUUCUGGUCGAACGAAGCGUACAAAACCGAAGAAAGGGCCCUGUCUAUGUCGUCAUUAACUGACGACCCCUUGGGGUAGGACAGAUGGUGAAUCAGGCUGUACUUGCCGGGCUCCUUCUUGGGUACUACCCCAAGUGGUGAUACUCUCAAGUUGGGUAACGGGGGCUCCCUGAACGGCCCCGCCACCCUGCCCAGCUGAACCUCCUUAUGCAACUUCUCCCUAACCACCCCCGGAAAUUCCCCUGCCGACUUCAGGUUGCGAAGAUGAUGAGCCACCACUCGCUCCUGAAACGGGAUAACGAACCCGUUGGUGAACCCCUCCUCUAGCAAUGCCGCAUCUUCCCUGUUAGCGUAGUGGCUUAGCCACGACCGCAUCGCGCCGACCUUCACUGAUGUGGCCCCCAGAAGCAGGGGACCCUACCGAACCUCCAGGCACCCCUGCUGCGGAGGCUGACUUCCCUUUUUUGAAACACCUGUGAAGUCCGUGGGUGCCUCCACACCCGGAGCACUCGUGCUUGAAUCGACAAGUGGCCCCCCACUUGCACUGUCCCUCAUUAUACAGCCAGCAG
Non-coding RNA from Pelobates cultripes (western spadefoot toad), 656 nucleotides. NCBI's taxonomy places the organism in Eukaryota, Metazoa, Chordata, Amphibia, Anura, Pelobatidae. The record is from the annotation of a GenBank genome assembly.